CAGGUCCCGCCUCCUGCCCUGCUUCAGACCUCCACCCCCUACAGACAUCCAGCUCAGCCCCCUGCUAAGAGAGCCCAGGGUGCAGGGCUCUCCCCACAGAAGAUAGAGACAGCGAGGGGAAGAGUUCCGGAGUCCAGUGUGGGCAAGAAGGAGCUGAGAGCAGAUGAAGUUCCAUUCCUGGUCUAUCAUGAAGGAGAACUGGUCUUGUCCCUCUCUGCAGAGGAGACCCCAGAAAGCAAAACCCAGAACGAAUCACUGACCCCUGACCAGCUGCAGCUCACAAGACAGAUUCCAGCCUUGAUGGUCACCACCACAGCACCAGCGCCCC
Long non-coding RNA from Alligator sinensis (Chinese alligator), 328 nucleotides. RefSeq lists it as uncharacterized. Lineage: Eukaryota; Metazoa; Chordata; Crocodylia; Alligatoridae. The record is from RefSeq and is a predicted model, not a curated record. The transcript has 4 exons.